Molecule: non-coding RNA, 72 nt
Organism: Podarcis lilfordi (Lilford's wall lizard)
Lineage: Eukaryota; Metazoa; Chordata; Lepidosauria; Squamata; Lacertidae
Source: the annotation of a GenBank genome assembly
AGGGUUUUAACUCAGUGGCAGAGAAUCUGCUUUGCAUGCUGAAGCUCCUGCGUUCAACCCCUGGCAUCUCUG